Molecule: ribosomal RNA, 792 nt
Filed under: Triticum aestivum (bread wheat)
Lineage: Eukaryota; Viridiplantae; Streptophyta; Magnoliopsida; Poales; Poaceae
Description: partial small subunit ribosomal RNA
Source: RNAcentral
AUGGCCGUCUCUCGCUGCUCCAUCCUUCUGCUCCCGCUCCCGCUCCUCUUCCUCUGCACCCUCCCGCCGCCCGCCUCCGCAUGCGACCGCUGCAUGCACCGCACCAGAGCCGCCUGCUACGCCUCCUCUCUCACCCUCGCCGCCGGUUCCUGCCGGUACGGCGCCGCGGCCGCGUCCCUCAACGGCGACCUGCUCGCCGGGGCGGGCCCUGCCCUGUACAGACAAGGCGUCGGCUGCGGCGCGUGCUUCCAGGUGCGCUGCAAGGACGAGGAGCUCUGCGCUACCGCCGGCGUGAAGGUCGUCGUCACGGACCGUGCCAGCACGAAGACGAACGACACCGACCUCGUGCUGAGCAGCCCGGCGUUCGCCGCCAUGGCCCGCCCCGGCAUGGCUGGGCGGCUCACCAAGCUCGGCGCCGUCGACGUCGAAUACAAGAGGGUGCCGUGCGAGUACUCGGGCAAGAACCUCUCGGUGCGGGUGGAGGAUCGGAGCCGCGCGCCCGGCGAGCUGACCGACAUCGUCCAAGUCGACGUCGCGCAGGUCUGUUCGUCGUCGAGCUGGACAUCCCUGACACGCGACCACGGGCCGGCGUGGAGCACGAGCCUGGCGCCACCGGGGCCGCUGAAGCUCAGGGCGGUGGUGACCGGCGGGUACGACGGGAAGUGGGUCUCGACCGACCGGGAGGUCCUGCCGCGCCAGUGGCGCGCUGGCGAGGUCUACGACACCGGCGUCCAGAUCACCGAGAUCGCCCAAGAAGACUGCUUCCCCUGCGACACGCAGGAGUGGAAGUGA